Long non-coding RNA from Etheostoma cragini (Arkansas darter), 169 nucleotides. RefSeq lists it as uncharacterized. NCBI's taxonomy places the organism in Eukaryota, Metazoa, Chordata, Actinopteri, Perciformes, Percidae. The transcript has 4 exons. The record is from RefSeq and is a predicted model, not a curated record.
AAUGGGGAAGGAGGUUUUUAAUAGCACCAUCGGGGCGCGUCUUCUUAGUCGUUUUAUUCCUGUCUUAGUUUAGGUUCUGUCCCAGCUGCCUUUAAACAUGCCGUGGUCAGGCCCCUACUUAACAAGCCUAAUCUUGACCCUACAUGUGUCUUUUCUGUAAAAGGUUUUG